UUGACGCAUGGCUUGUAUUGUUAUCCUAUUCAAGGGAUGGAAACUGAAGUCACAUCUAGCCCACACAGUGGUGCCUGGCAGAUCGCCUCUCAGAAAGUGUUGUGUCUUAGUAAGAUGACAACUUAGAAGCCAUUAUUGGAACUGGUUGUGUUGGGAUUAUAGCCUCUCAGAAGUGCAGAAAUACCCUGUCCUAGUACUUCAUUUGCAGCUGCCUGUGGGUUGUGUGUCUGUGAUGCCUUCUCUUCCUGUUUGGUUUUGCUCUCGGAAUGCUGCCUAUUUCCAGUCACUCCCUGCACAGCGACGUUCCCAUCAUCUUUCACCAGCUGCACUGCCUGGCUGCUCGAUGGCUGGAGGGGGUGGGAUUCGGGCAUCGCUGUCUGUUUGCACACAGGGUGGACAGUUUCACCUGAACAAACAGCUUCAGAUAUUUCAGGACACACUAGGCAGGUCCCAGCAGCUAUGUGAGACCCACCCCCGCCAAGUGGAUUUGCCAAUCGGAUCAGCCCAUCACUAA
This 514-nucleotide long non-coding RNA is filed under the name Lepisosteus oculatus (spotted gar). RNAcentral describes it as "lncRNA (ENSLOCG00000022678.1)". Lineage: Eukaryota; Metazoa; Chordata; Actinopteri; Semionotiformes; Lepisosteidae. The record is from RNAcentral.